Molecule: long non-coding RNA, 165 nt
Organism: Salarias fasciatus (jewelled blenny)
Lineage: Eukaryota; Metazoa; Chordata; Actinopteri; Blenniiformes; Blenniidae
Exons: 3
Source: RefSeq, a predicted model, not a curated record
GUCUGGGAUCAUUUCCCCCUGAAUCUGGGUGUCAACUUGCUGCUAGAGGAGUGGCUGUUGUGAAGCCACAGACUCCCCACCUCUCCUACCGGGUGAUCAAUUUGGAUGCUUUUGGCCAGGAGCGGCCAGUUAAGCUGCAGUGGAACCUACCAGCUGUUUUGCCCU